RNAcentral lists this non-coding RNA (79 nucleotides) under unclassified sequences. The record is from RNAcentral.
UUUUGGGGACUUACGUUCCCAAAAACUAUAAUCUUGCCAUCGUCAGUUCCAAGCCUGAGUGAGAAAAAGAGAGGAUAGU